This 1255-nucleotide ribosomal RNA is filed under the name metagenome. RNAcentral describes it as "bacterial LSU rRNA". It matches the Rfam family "Bacterial large subunit ribosomal RNA", at positions 1648 to 2925 of the family's 2925-position model. The record is from RNAcentral.
CGUAAACCGACACAGGUGGAUGAGGAGAGAAUCCUAAGGCCGACGGAAGAAGCAUUGUUAAGGAAUUCGGCAAAAUGACCCCGUAACUUCGGGAGAAGGGGUGCCUGCGAGAGCAGGCCGCAGAGAAUAGGCUCAAGCAACUGUUUAGCAAAAACACAGGUCUAUGCGAAACCGAAAGGUGAAGUAUAUGGGCUGACGCCUGCCCGGUGCUGGAAGGUUAAGAGGAGAGGUUAGCGUAAGCGAAGCUUUGAAUUUAAGCCCCAGUAAACGGCGGCCGUAACGAUAACGGUCCUAAGGUAGCGAAAUUCCUUGUCGGGUAAGUUCCGACCCGCACGAAAGGCGUAAUGAUUUGAGCACUGUCUCGACAAUGCAUCCGGUGAAAUUGAAGUACCAGUGAAGAUGCUGGUUACCCGCGCCAGGACGGAAAGACCCCAUGGAGCUUUACUCCAGUUUGAUACUGGGAUUCGGUACUGCAUGUACAGGAUAGGUGGGAGACGUAGAAGGAUGGACGCCAGUCUGUCCGGAGUCGCUGUUGGGAUACCACCCCUGUAGUACUGGGUUUCUAACCAGUUACCAUGAUCUGGUAAUGGGACAAUGUCAGGCGGGGAGUUUGACUGGGGCGGUCGCCUCCGAAAGGGUAUCGGAGGCGCUCAAAGGUUCCCUCAGAAUGGUUGGAAACCAUUUGAAGAGUGCAAAGGCAGAAGGGAGCUUGACUGCGACACCGACGGGUGGAGCAGGUACGAAAGUAGGACUUAGUGAUCCGGUGGUAUAAAGUGGGAUUGCCAUCGCUCAACGGAUAAAAGCUACCCUGGGAUAACAGGCUUAUCACUCCCAAGAGUUCACAUCGACGGAGUGGUUUGGCACCUCGAUGUCGGCUCAUCGCAUCCUGGGGCUGUAGCAGGUCCCAAGGGUUGGGCUGUUCGCCCAUUAAAGCGGUACGCGAGCUGGGUUCAGAACGUCGUGAGACAGUUCGGUCCCUAUCCGGCGCGGGCGGAGGAUAUUUGAGAGGAGCUGUCCUUAGUACGAGAGGACCGGGAUGGACGGACCACUGGUGUAUCUGUUGUCGACCAACGGCAUGGCAGAGUAGCCAAGUCUGGAAGGGAUAAACGCUGAAGGCAUCUAAGCGUGAAGCCCCCCUCAAGAUGAGAUAUCCCUCCUUCGGGAGUAAGACCCCUUGAAGACUACAAGGUAGAUAGGGCAGAGGUGGAAGCAUGGCAACAUGUGGAGCUGACUGUUACUAAUAGGUCGAGGGCUC